ACGGCUCAGUAACACGUAGAUAAUCUACCCUUGAGUCAGGAAUAAGCACGGGAAACUGUGUCUAACGCUUGAUAUGGGAUUCGACCUGGAAAGGUAUUUCCCUGAAACUCGUGCUCAAGGAUGAGUCUGCGGAUGAUUAGCUUGUUGGUGGGGUAACUGCCUACCAAGGCGAUGAUCAUUACGGGCUCUUAGCGGAGUUGCCCGGAGACGAAAUCUGAGACACUAUUUCGAGCUCUACGGAGUGCAGCAGUCGCGGAACUUUUACAAUGCACGCAAGUGUGAUAAAGCGAACCAAAGUGUUUUUCGUAUAGAAAAACUUUUUCUUAGUGUAAAAACCUAGGAGAAUAAGGACUGGGAAAGACUGGUGCCAGCCGCCGCGGUAAUACCAGCAGUUCAAGUUGCAUCCCUUUUUAUUGGGUCUAAAACAUCCGUAGCUUGCCGUUUAAGUCUCUUGUGAAAUCCUGUGUCUCAAGCACAGGGCUUGCAGGAGAUACUGAACGGCUAGAGAUCGGUAGACGUAAGGAGUACGCCGGAGGUAAUGGUAAAAUAUGUUAAUCUUCGGUGGACUAACAAUGAGCGAAGGCACCUUACGAGGACGAAUCUGACAGUGAGGGAUGAAGGCCAGGGGCGCAAAACGGAUUAGAUACCCGUGUAGUCCUGGCAGUAAACACUGUUCACUAAACAUCGGGCCCUCUUCGGGAGGAUUCGGUGCUGAAGCGAAGGCGAAGAGUGAACUACCUGGGAAGUAUAGUCGCAAGAUCGAAACUUAAAGGAAUUGGCGGGGGAGCAC
RNAcentral lists this ribosomal RNA (790 nucleotides) under uncultured archaeon. RNAcentral's name for it is "bacterial SSU rRNA". It matches the Rfam family "Archaeal small subunit ribosomal RNA", at positions 85 to 879 of the family's 1478-position model. The record is from RNAcentral.